This 253-nucleotide ribosomal RNA is filed under the name uncultured bacterium. RNAcentral describes it as "partial 16S ribosomal RNA". It matches the Rfam family "Bacterial small subunit ribosomal RNA", at positions 524 to 776 of the family's 1533-position model. The record is from RNAcentral.
UACGUAGGGGGCUAGCGUUGUCCGGAUUUAUUGGGCGUAAAGAGCGUGUAGGCGGCCAUGUAGGUCCGGUGUGAAAACUCGAGGCUUAACCUCGAGAUGUCAUCGGAAACCAUUUGGCUAGAGUCCGGAAGAGGAGAGUGGAAUUCCUGGUGUAGCGGUGAAAUGCGCAGAUAUCGGGAGGAACACCUAUGGCGAAAGCAGGUUUCUGGGCCAUCUUUGACGCUGAGCUGCGAAAGCUAGGGGAGCAAACAGG